UCCAGACUCCUACGGGAGGCAGCAGUGAGGAAUAUUGGUCAAUGGGCGGAAGCCUGAACCAGCCAAGUCGCGUGAGGGACUAAGGCCCUGCGGGUCGUAAACCUCUUUUGCCGGGGAGCAGUGGUCCGGACGCGUCCGGACCGGGAGAGUGCCCGGAGAAAAAGCAUCGGCUAACUCCGUGCCAGCAGCCGCGGUAAUACGGAGGAUGCGAGCGUUAUCCGGAUUUAUUGGGUUUAAAGGGUGCGUAGGCGGGCAUUUAAGCCGGCGGUCAAAUGUCGGGGCUCAACCCCGGUCGGCCGUUGAAACUGGCGUGCUCGAGUUGGAGAGAAGUAUGCGGAAUUCGUGGUGUAGCGGUGAAAUGCAUAGAUAUCACGAAGAACCCCGAUUGCGAAGGCAGCAUACCGGCUCCACACUGACGCUGAGGCACGAAAGCGUGGGUAUCGAACAGGAUUAGAUACCCGGGUAUUC
RNAcentral lists this ribosomal RNA (468 nucleotides) under uncultured bacterium. Its description in RNAcentral is "bacterial SSU rRNA". It matches the Rfam family "Bacterial small subunit ribosomal RNA", at positions 330 to 795 of the family's 1533-position model. The record is from RNAcentral.